RNAcentral lists this ribosomal RNA (136 nucleotides) under Staphylococcus pseudintermedius. RNAcentral describes it as "partial 16S ribosomal RNA". It matches the Rfam family "Bacterial small subunit ribosomal RNA", at positions 1 to 131 of the family's 1533-position model. The record is from RNAcentral. Lineage: Bacteria; Bacillati; Bacillota; Bacilli; Caryophanales; Staphylococcaceae.
UUUAUGGAGAGUUUGAUCCUGGCUCAGGAUGAACGCUGGCGGCGUGCCUAAUACAUGCAAGUCGAGCGAACAGAUAAGGAGCUUGCUCCUUUGACGUUAGCGGCGGACGGGUGAGUAACACGUGGGUAACCUACCU